UUCGGGCGCCGGCGAGUGGCGAACGGGUGAGUAACACGUGGAGACCUAUCCAUUGGUGGGGGACAACAGCUGGAAACGGCUGCUAAUACCGCAUAAUCCCUACGGGGGAAAGAUUUAUCGCCAUAGGAGGGUUCCGCGUCGGAUUAGCUAGUUGGUGGGGUAACGGCCUACCAAGGCAACGAUCCGUAGCUGGUCUUAGAGGAUGAUCAGCCACACUGGGACUGAGACACGGCCCAGACUCCUACGGGAGGCAGCAGUGGGGAAUAUUGCGCAAUGGAGGAAACUCUGACGCAGCGAUGCCGCGUGGGUGAAGAAGGCCUUAGGGUUGUAAAGCCCUUUCAGUGGGAACGAUGGUGACGGUAUCCACAGAAGAAGCCCCGGCUAACUCCGUGCCAGCAGCCGCGGUAAUACGGAGGGGGCGAGCGUUGUUCGGAAUUAUUGGGCGUAAAGCGCGCGUAGGCGGUUUAUUAAG
This 472-nucleotide ribosomal RNA is filed under the name uncultured Magnetococcus sp. RNAcentral describes it as "bacterial SSU rRNA". It matches the Rfam family "Bacterial small subunit ribosomal RNA", at positions 79 to 587 of the family's 1533-position model. The record is from RNAcentral. Lineage: Bacteria; Pseudomonadati; Pseudomonadota; Magnetococcia; Magnetococcales; Magnetococcaceae.